Phrynosoma platyrhinos (Desert horned lizard) is the source of this 71-nucleotide non-coding RNA. The record is from the annotation of a GenBank genome assembly. NCBI's taxonomy places the organism in Eukaryota, Metazoa, Chordata, Lepidosauria, Squamata, Phrynosomatidae.
GCCUGUGUGGUGUAGUGGCUGAGUGUUAGACUAUGACUCUGGAGGCUAGGGUUCGAAUCCCCACUCAGCCA